CAACUUUCAGCAACGGAUCUCUUGGCUCUCGCAUCGAUGAAGAACGCAGCGAAAUGCGAUAAGUAAUGUGAAUUGCAGAAUUCAGUGAAUCAUCGAAUCUUUGAACGCACCUUGCGCUCCUUGGUAUUCUGAGGAGCAUGCCUGUUUGAGU
RNAcentral lists this ribosomal RNA (151 nucleotides) under Cortinarius sp. PDD 92371. RNAcentral's name for it is "5.8S ribosomal RNA". It matches the Rfam family "5.8S ribosomal RNA". Rfam says of the family: 5.8S ribosomal RNA (5.8S rRNA) is a component of the large subunit of the eukaryotic ribosome. It is transcribed by RNA polymerase I as part of the 45S precursor that also contains 18S and 28S rRNA. Lineage: Eukaryota; Fungi; Basidiomycota; Agaricomycetes; Agaricales; Cortinariaceae. The record is from RNAcentral.